CUUCCAGCAGGAACGAAACGGUACGCUCUAACAUAGCGUGCUAAUGACGGUACCUGCAGAAGAAGCACCGGCUAACUACGUGCCAGCAGCCGCGGUAAUACGUAGGGUGCGAGCGUUAAUCGGAAUUACUGGGCGUAAAGCGUGCGCAGGCGGAUUGUUAAGCAAGACGUGAAAUCCCCGGGCUUAACCUGGGAAUGGCGUUUUGAACUGGCAGUCUAGAGUGUGUCAGAGGGGGGUAGAAUUCCACGUGUAGCAGUGAAAUGCGUAGAGAUGUGGAGGAAUACCGAUGGCGAAGGCAGCCCCCUGGGAUAACACUGACGCUCAUGUACGAAAGCGUGGGUAGCAAACAGGAUUAGAUACCCUGGUAGUCCACGCCCUAAACGAUGUCAACUGGUUGUUGGGGGAGUGAAAUCCCUUAGUAACGAAGCUAACGCGUGAAGUUGACCGCCUGGGGAGUACGGUCGCAAGAUUAAAACUCAAAGGAAUUGACGGGGACCCGCACAAGCGGUGGAUGAUGUGGAUUAAUUCGAUGCAACGCGAAAAACCUUACCUACCCUUGACAUGUCCAGAAUCCUGCAGAGAUGCGGGAGUGCCCGAAAGGGAAUUGGAACACAGGUGCUGCAUGGCUGUCGUCAGCUCGUGUCGUGAGAUGUUGGGUUAAGUCCCGCAACGAGCGCAACCCUUAUCAUUAGUUGCUACGCAAGGGCACUCUAAUGAGACUGCCGGUGACAAACCGGAAGAAGGUGGGGAUGACGUCAAGUCCUCAUGGCCCUUAUGGGUAGGGCUUCACACGUCAUACAAUGGUCGGUACAGAGGGUUGCCAAGCCG
Molecule: ribosomal RNA, 828 nt
Filed under: uncultured bacterium
Lineage: Bacteria
Description: bacterial SSU rRNA
Rfam family: Bacterial small subunit ribosomal RNA
Source: RNAcentral